CGCUGCUCUGUGCCCCAGAGACUGACGCACGGGACGGUGUCCUUGCUUCCAACUCUUUACUGUGUUGAAGCCUGUGAGUCUUCUUGGUGAGUAUCUAUUGACAGGCUAUCGACCAGCGUCAGUGUUCCAGAGAAGAAGAAUCAAGGUGAUGCAUAUAUACCUAUGGCAUAUGGUGUUAGCUCACCACGACGUGCAGGCUGGUAUGUCCCGUGAUCUGCAGGAGACGCGGGGAAGCUAGUGGCGAUGCUAAAGCUCUGAGAGCCAGAGAGCGGCUGGUACAGAUCUCAGUCAAGCAGUCAGGCAGAGUUAAUUCAAAUGUCCUCAUUGAUUUUGUUCUAUUCAGGCGCUCAGCUGGUCCAGUGAUGGCCACAAACACUGGGGAGGACCAUUGGCUCUACUCUGUCCAUUAACUCAGUUUCUGAUGCAGCUUCCAACUGGCUCCAGCUCAGAAAGUCUGUCCCUGGUGUCUGCUCCCCACCCUCCUGGUACGUGAUUGGUUUCUGACUCAUUGUACUCGGGCUCAGAUUUUGUAGUGGGAGUCACGACCCUUCAUUCAUUCCAUAUUGUUCUCUCACCUUUCUUCAGUCGGUCUCAAUAGGGAGUCUCCCCCCAGGGACCUGGGUCUCUGAGCACCUACAGAACCGAGAUUUGGUACUGUAUGGAACACAAUGUCCCACUUCACCAGACUACACCUUCUUUCGGAGAACCUCAGAUGGUGGGAGUCCUGUCCCCAAGCCUGGCUGGCCUCAGCCCUAGGGAGCUGGGAUGUACUGCUUUCGAUGCACAUGGAAGUGGUGGGGGUGGAACUCUGUUAGUCACAGUUCCUGGAAGGCUUCAUGGAGGUGUCCUGAGAGGCGUCAGAGUGUAAAGAAGUAAGGAGUCCUGUCCCAGGCGAAGCUGCAGAAGUCGGGCCCAGGAUUGGCAAAGCCCUUGUAGACCCUCCCUCA
This is a long non-coding RNA of Propithecus coquereli (Coquerel's sifaka), 947 nucleotides long. RefSeq lists it as uncharacterized. The transcript is spliced from 3 exons. The record is from RefSeq and is a predicted model, not a curated record. NCBI's taxonomy places the organism in Eukaryota, Metazoa, Chordata, Mammalia, Primates, Indriidae.